CCCUUAGAUGUUCUGGGCCGCACACGCGCUACACUGGCAGGUUCAUCGAGCUUCAUGCCCUGAUCUGAGAAGAACGGGAAAUCUUUGAACACCUGCCGUGCUUGGGAUAGAUGUUUGCAAUUAUUCAUCUUCAACGAGGAUUGCCUUGUAAGCGCACGUCAUCAGCGUGCAUUGAAUACGACCCUGUAUUCUGUACACACCGCCCGUCGCUCCUACCGAUUGAAGUUUUCGGUGGAUUUACUGGAGAUCCCUUUUGAAGGUGGUUCGCCACUGGAAGAAGUAUUCAAAAGUAAAUGAAUCGAAUGCUUUAGAGGAAGGAGAAGUCGUAACA
This 331-nucleotide ribosomal RNA is filed under the name uncultured eukaryote. RNAcentral's name for it is "partial 18S ribosomal RNA". It matches the Rfam family "Eukaryotic small subunit ribosomal RNA", at positions 1470 to 1796 of the family's 1831-position model. The record is from RNAcentral.